RNAcentral lists this ribosomal RNA (500 nucleotides) under Vibrio sp. ZXM217. RNAcentral describes it as "bacterial SSU rRNA". It matches the Rfam family "Bacterial small subunit ribosomal RNA", at positions 79 to 567 of the family's 1533-position model. The record is from RNAcentral. Lineage: Bacteria; Pseudomonadati; Pseudomonadota; Gammaproteobacteria; Vibrionales; Vibrionaceae.
UUCGGGGAACGAUAACGGCGUCGAGCGGCGGACGGGUGAGUAAUGCCUAGGAAAUUGCCCUGAUGUGGGGGAUAACCAUUGGAAACGAUGGCUAAUACCGCAUAAUGCCUACGGGCCAAAGAGGGGGACCUUCGGGCCUCUCGCGUCAGGAUAUGCCUAGGUGGGAUUAGCUAGUUGGUGAGGUAAUGGCUCACCAAGGCGACGAUCCCUAGCUGGUCUGAGAGGAUGAUCAGCCACACUGGAACUGAGACACGGUCCAGACUCCUACGGGAGGCAGCAGUGGGGAAUAUUGCACAAUGGGCGCAAGCCUGAUGCAGCCAUGCCGCGUGUGUGAAGAAGGCCUUCGGGUUGUAAAGCACUUUCAGUCGUGAGGAAGGUAGUGUAGUUAAUAGCUGCAUUAUUUGACGUUAGCGACAGAAGAAGCACCGGCUAACUCCGUGCCAGCAGCCGCGGUAAUACGGAGGGUGCGAGCGUUAAUCGGAAUUACUGGGCGUAAAGCG